AUGUGGCCAUUCAAGUAUUUGAAUUGUUCAUUGCAAGUGUAUGGAAAUGCAAGUGAUUUUUACAUUGAUCUCACUAAGUCACUAAAUUGCCAGCAUGGACUUCAACUUGUGAUCCUCCUGCCUCAGAAUCCCAGAAUGCUGAAUUAUAGUGUGCACCACCACACCUGGCUCAAAUACUUUUUCUGUCUCUAUGAGAUGACCAUAUGGUUUUGUCUUUUUACUCUACCAAAAUGAUACAGGUCUGGGGAUAUUGCUCAGUGAUACAGUGCCUGCCUGGCAAGCGUGAGGCUCUGGGUUUGAUUUCCGAUACCAAAAAAAAAAAAAAAAAAAAAGAAAAAGAAAAAGAAAUGAUAUAAUGUUAUAGUUAAUGUUGGGGUGUUAAACCAACCUUACAGUCCUAGAAUAUACUCCACUUAGUAUAUAAUUCUUUUUAUAUGUUGUUGGCCUCUAUUUGCUAAUAUAACAAAAUCUGAGCUUUUUAUUUUUUGGCUCUUUGUGUCUCUAUGCAGUUCAGGCUGACCUUGACCUCAAUGUGUAACUCAGCUAGGCUUGAACUCUUGGUGAUCCCCCUGCCUCAGCGUGUAGUGUGGCUGGGAUUUUUGUUUUUUACUGUAUGCUUUUUAUUUUAUGAAAAAAUAAAACAAAUUUUCAUAACCAGAUAAUGAGAAUAACAAUAGUUAUUAUAGUUAUCUUCAAAAUUGUUAAUCAUUGUAAGACAUAAACCAAAAAGAUUCUUACAAAAAAGAAACAAACAGGUAAUAACACAAACUUUUCAACAAAUUAAGAUAAACUACUAAUACAAAUGAAAUGAAUUAGCAUAUAUAUUGAAAUAUUUUUAAACAAUGGAAUAUGUAAUUUGGGAAAGUAUUUGAAUGUCUCCC
This 881-nucleotide long non-coding RNA is filed under the name Cavia porcellus (domestic guinea pig). Its description in RNAcentral is "lncRNA (ENSCPOG00000029992.1)". Lineage: Eukaryota; Metazoa; Chordata; Mammalia; Rodentia; Caviidae. The record is from RNAcentral.